This 497-nucleotide ribosomal RNA is filed under the name uncultured bacterium. RNAcentral describes it as "partial 16S ribosomal RNA". It matches the Rfam family "Bacterial small subunit ribosomal RNA", at positions 28 to 507 of the family's 1533-position model. The record is from RNAcentral.
GACGAACGCUGGCGGCGUGCCUAAUACAUGCAAGUUGAGCGAUGAAGAUUGGUGCUUGCACCAAUUUGAAGAGCAGCGAACGGGUGAGUAACGCGUGGGGAAUCUGCCUUUGAGCGGGGGACAACAUUUGGAAACGAAUGCUAAUACCGCAUAACAACUUUAAACAUAAGUUUUAAGUUUGAAAGAUGCAAUUGCAUCACUCAAAGAUGAUCCCGCGUUGUAUUAGCUAGUUGGUGAGGUAAAGGCUCACCAAGGCGAUGAUACAUAGCCGACCUGAGAGGGUGAUCGGCCACAGUGGGAGUGAGACACGGCCCAAACUCCUACGGGAGGCAGCAGUAGGGAAUCUUCGGCAAUGGACGAAAGGCUGACCGAGCAACGCCGCGUGAGUGAAGAAGGUUUUCGGAUCGUAAAACUCUGUUGGUAGAGAAGAACGUUGGUGAGAGUGGAAAGCUCAUCAAGUGACGGUAACUACCCAGAAAGGGACGGCUAACUACGUG